Molecule: long non-coding RNA, 639 nt
Organism: Oncorhynchus tshawytscha (Chinook salmon)
Lineage: Eukaryota; Metazoa; Chordata; Actinopteri; Salmoniformes; Salmonidae
Source: Ensembl
CAUGUUUCAGUCGAUAUUAUGGAGUUAAUUUGGAAAAAAGUUUGGCGUUUUGAUGACUGAAUUUUCGUUUUUUUUUUGAUAGCCAAACGUGACGCACCAAACGGAGCAAUUUCUCCUAAACAAAUAAUCUUUCAGGAAAAACGGAACAUUUGCUAUCUAACUGAGAGUCUCCUCAUUGAAAACAUCCGAAGUUCUUCAAAGGCCAACAAGAUGUUCAACCUGAUGACUGUAUAAAGGAAUGGACACAGCCAUCGAUCACGUGACACCAUUCGUUCCUAGGUGAAGACUCAACAGCGCAUUGAAACCAAAUGAGCAUCAGUAGAACAUGCCUGACACUCCUCCACACAAGGAGAUUGGUCUAAUGCCUCCCUUCAAAAAGAGAGCUGGCCCAAGCAAGAACAGGUUACACCUGAAGCAUGAGGACUUGGAGCGAGUGGUGAACUUCAUCAACAACUACAGGAUAAUGCAACAGUAUUACCAGGAUGCCACCCGGGACACAGGCUCUUUGGUGGAAAGCUGUUGUCAUGUGAUAAAAGCAGUGGUGUGGCGUCUCUACAAGGAAUCAAUGACAACACUUGGUCCGAGUGCCGCCGCCGUUGGGACCGGGGGUCCCUCAGCUGGCUCGUCGGGCAUCCACGC